AAAUGCGCUAAGUAAUGUGAAUUGCAGAAUUCCGUGAAUCAUCGAAUCUUUGAACGCACAUUGCGCCCUCUGGUAUUCCGGGGGGCAUGCCUGUCCGAGCGUCAUUGCGAACCCCUCAAGCACGGCUUGUGUGAUGGGCCCUCCCGCGUCUUGGUCGUCAAGACGGGCCCGAAAAGCAGUGGCGGCUUCGCGGCUAUCCGAUCAUCCAGAGCGUAUGGGGACUUUCUCUCUGUCACACGCCCGCGGCGCGGACCGACGCCUGUCGACCUUUAUUCAUCUUUUUCUCGGUUGACCUCGGAUCAGGUAGGGAUACCCGCUGAACUUAAGC
Molecule: unclassified non-coding RNA, 328 nt
Filed under: plant metagenome
Description: partial contains 5.8S ribosomal RNA, internal transcribed spacer 2, and large subunit ribosomal RNA
Rfam family: 5.8S ribosomal RNA (bases 1-104)
Source: RNAcentral